GACGGAGGAUGCAAGUGUUAUCCGGAGUCACUGGGCGUAAAGCGUCUGUAGGUGGUCAAAUAAGUCAACUGUUAAAUCUUGAGGCUCAACCUCAAAAUCGCAGUCGAAACUAUUAGACUAGAGUAUAGUAGGGGUAAAGGGAAUUUCCAGUGGAGCGGUGAAAUGCGUAGAGAUUGGAAAGAACACCGAUGGCGAAGGCGGUUCUCUGGGCCUGUACUGACGCUGAGGAGCGAAAGCGUGGGGAGCGAACAGG
This 253-nucleotide ribosomal RNA is filed under the name uncultured bacterium. RNAcentral describes it as "partial 16S ribosomal RNA". It matches the Rfam family "Bacterial small subunit ribosomal RNA", at positions 524 to 776 of the family's 1533-position model. The record is from RNAcentral.